AGAACGAACGCUGGCGGCAUGCCUAAUACAUGCAAGUCGAACGAACUCUUCGGAGUUAGUGGCGCACGGGUGCGUAACGCGUGGGAAUCUGCCCUUGGGUUCGGAAUAACAGUUGGAAACGACUGCUAAUACCGGAUGAUGACGAAAGUCCAAAGAUUUAUCGCCCAGGGAUGAGCCCGCGUAGGAUUAGCUAGUUGGUGAGGUAAAGGCUCACCAAGGCGACGAUCCUUAGCUGGUCUGAGAGGAUGAUCAGCCACACUGGGACUGACGACACGGCCCAGACCUCCGUACGGGAGGCAGCGAGGUAGGGAAUAGUUGGAACAAGUGGGACGAAAGCCUGAUCCAGCAAGUGCCGCGUGAGUGA
This 364-nucleotide ribosomal RNA is filed under the name uncultured soil bacterium. RNAcentral's name for it is "bacterial SSU rRNA". It matches the Rfam family "Bacterial small subunit ribosomal RNA", at positions 26 to 408 of the family's 1533-position model. The record is from RNAcentral.